RNAcentral lists this ribosomal RNA (490 nucleotides) under uncultured bacterium. RNAcentral's name for it is "partial 16S ribosomal RNA". It matches the Rfam family "Bacterial small subunit ribosomal RNA", at positions 30 to 523 of the family's 1533-position model. The record is from RNAcentral.
AUUGAACGCUGGCGGAAUGCUUUACACAUGCAAGUCGAACGGGAGUAGCAAUACUCUAGUGGCGAACGGGUGAGUAACACAUCGGAACGUACCCUGACGUGGGGGAUAACACAUCGAAAGGUGUGCUAAUACCGCAUACGUCCUGAGGGAGAAAGCGGGGGAUCGUAAGACCUCGCGCGUUUGGCGCGGCCGAGGGAGGAUUAGCUAGUUGGUGGGGUAAAGGCCUACCAAGGCGACGAUCCGUAGCUGGUCUGAGAGGACGACCAGCCACACUGGGACUGAGACACGGCCCAGACUCCUACGGGAGGCAGCAGUGGGGAAUUUUGGACAAUGGGCGAAAGCCUGAUCCAGCCAUUCCGCGUGAGUGAAGAAGGCCUUCGGGUUGUAAAGCUCUUUCGGCAGGAACGAAACGGCUCUUUCUAAUACGGAGAGCUAAUGACGGUACCUGAAGAAGAAGCACCGGCUAACUACGUGCCAGCCGCCGCCGUAA